This 253-nucleotide ribosomal RNA is filed under the name uncultured bacterium. RNAcentral's name for it is "partial 16S ribosomal RNA". It matches the Rfam family "Bacterial small subunit ribosomal RNA", at positions 524 to 776 of the family's 1533-position model. The record is from RNAcentral.
UACAGAGGGGGCAAGCGUUGUUCGGAAUUACUGGGCGUAAAGGGCGCGUAGGCGGCCUUCUAAGUCGAACGUGAAAUCCCCGGGCUCAACCCGGGAACUGCGUCCGAUACUGGAAGGCUUGAAUCCGGGAGAGGGAUGCGGAAUUCCAGGUGUAGCGGUGAAAUGCGUAGAUAUCGGGAGGAACACCGGUGGCGAAGGCGGCGACCUGGGUAGAUACUGACGCUGAGGUGCGAAAGCGUGGGGAGCAAACAGG